Molecule: long non-coding RNA, 1126 nt
Filed under: Betta splendens (Siamese fighting fish)
Lineage: Eukaryota; Metazoa; Chordata; Actinopteri; Anabantiformes; Osphronemidae
Description: lncRNA (ENSBSLG00000010673.1)
Source: RNAcentral
UGAAGGUGUGUGGGCUCCCUGGCUGCUAGGAUUCUUUCCUCUGCUUGUUGGAUAGGCGUAGUGGCCGAGCUCCUCCCAUCAUCCUGGCUUUCACAAGUGGCAUUGUUCAUGCACCAACAUCUGCCAUCUGGGUGAACAAUGUUGAGCUACAGUUUUACUAACCUUGUAAUGGGACACUCAAGACCUGAGCUAAUAAACAGGCUUUCUAAACCCAACUGUAAGUAUUACUGAUACUUAUCACUACCAAUAUCAAUAAUGUGUGAAUAUGGAAAUUGUGGUGUUGUAUGUCAUGACUAUUAUUAAGUAGUAUGGUUGUUAUGGGAAAAAUUGUCUAUUAUUUCUAUGUGUCUUCCUUACUUCUAUGCAGUUAUUAUAUGAUUUAUGACUUAUGUUCUGCAAUUAAUAUCUUGUGUUUUGUCUUACUGUAUGCAUUUGACAUUUCACCUAGAUUGUUCAAUGGUUGUCUCUGCCAGAAAGACUCUCAACUCUAGCUCCCAAACCCAAGGUCGGGGAGUUGUGUCUCUGUCUGUUGAGACUUGGUGCUCCUUUCUCACAGAUAGUUGGACGUCAGCGAUGCAGCAAAGGAAAACAAGGACAGAGCAACAGCAGAGAAGACGUGCUCUAACACAGACACUGGUUGAAACAACAGGAGAGGCUUCAGACGUGAUCGGCCCAAAAGAGCUGCAUGCGAGGAUCCAGGAAAGGUCUGUCAUCGAGGAACAACUGUCCCAUCGAAAGGCUUCACCCGCUGGCGCUCACAUCAGACUGAUGGUUGGGGAAGGAGGAAGGUGACGGUUCCUUUUCACGUGACGUACAAGACGGUACCGCAAACACACACACACACACACACACACACACACACACACACACAUUCAUACACGCAAUGAAGAAACACGCUUACAGCUGAUACACGCUCAAAUUCAUGUUCAUGCUUAUCUGCUCGCAAUGAAGAAUCGCUUUUUGCUCAAAAAAAAAAAAAAAAAAAACCCACAGAGUGAUUUUACAAUGAUGACAAACAGCUAAAUGACAACUGCUGCAUGACUUUACAGUCUGAUGGGUUCAAACUAUUUUAACUUGCAACAAAUUCAGUAAUAAAAUCCUUCAUGUUUCUAAAAAUACUUGUGCA